RNAcentral lists this ribosomal RNA (775 nucleotides) under uncultured Neocallimastigales. RNAcentral's name for it is "partial large subunit ribosomal RNA". It matches the Rfam family "Eukaryotic large subunit ribosomal RNA", at positions 24 to 611 of the family's 3401-position model. The record is from RNAcentral. Lineage: Eukaryota; Fungi; Neocallimastigomycota; Neocallimastigomycetes; Neocallimastigales.
UCGCAUCUGUGCAUGCAGCAUAUCAAUAAGCGGAGGAAAAGAAACUAACAAGGAUUCCCCUAGUAACGGCGAGUGAAGCGGGAAGAGCUCAAAUUUGAAAUCUUAAAGGGUUUCCCUUUACGAAUUGUAGUCUAAAGAAGUGUUUUCUGUUGAGGUUUUGGUAAAAGUUCUUUGGAAUAGGACAUCAUAGAGGGUGAGAAUCCCGUAUUUGACCUUUACUUUCAACUUUGUGAUACACUUUCAAAGAGUCGGAUUGUUUGGGAAUGCAGUCCAAAAUGGGUGGUAAAUUUCAGCUAAAGCUAAAUAUUGGCGAGAGACCGAUAGCGAACAAGUACCGUGAGGGAAAGAUGAAGAGAACUUUGAAAAGAGAGUUAAACAGUACGUGAAAUUGUCAAAAGGGAAGCGUUUGACACCAGUGUUGUUUUUCUGAAAAUCAAUUAAAGAACUGUUUAUGCUAAGUUGUUUAGACUUUAUCAGCUAACUGUUUAGUUUUGAGCUUUUCUUUAAUGCACUUUUCAGUUAACAAGUCAACAUCAAUUUCUUUUGCUGUAAAAAAGCUUGAGGAAGGUGGCUUGAGAUUCGUCUUAAGUGUUUAUAGCCUCUUGCCUAUGCAGUCGGAGAGAUUGAGGUCUGCAGCGUAGAUCCUUCGGGGCUAAAUGCAUUUGUGCUAAGUUAUAGCAUUUUAUAGACAACUUGUUGACUAUGAUUUGUCUUGUAGCUUACUCGCUUAUGUUAUUUUACCUACGCUUAGGAUGUUGAACGCGCACAGAGUCUC